UUGAUCCGGGGAUUUCCGAAUGGGGCAACCCGCGCACCGUCACUGGUGCGCAUCCCCGCCCGAACACAUAGGGCGGGAGAAGCCAUACCCGGGGAAGUGAAACAUCUCAGUACCCGGAGGAACAGACAUCAACCGAGAUUCCCCAAGUAGCGGCGAGCGAACGGGGAUCAGCCUAAACCGGGGCGCUUGCGCCCCGGGGUUGCGGGACCCGCGCAAGGGAACGGAACGGGCCAGGGGAAGCCUCUGGAACGCCGCGCGAUACAGGGUGAGAGCCCCGUACCCGAAGGCCCCGACCGUCCCGCGGGAAUCCCAAGUAGGCCGGAACACGUGAAACUCCGGCCGAAUCCGGGGGGACCACCCUCCAAGGCUAAAUACUAGCCGACGACCGAUAGUGAACCAGUACCGCGAGGGAAAGGUGAAAAGAACCCCGUCUAGGGGAGUGAAACAGAACCUGAAACCAUGCGUCCACAAACUGUCGGAGCCCCUCGGGGCCACGGCAUGCCUUUUGCAUAAUGAGCCUGCGAGUUGCUUCUCACCAGCAAGGUUAAGCCAGUGGCGGAGCCGAAGCGAAAGCGAGUGCGAACAGCGCGUCAAGUUGGUGGGAGCAGACCCGAAGCUGGGUGAUCUAUCCAUGGCCAGGCCGAACCCUCCGUAACAGGAGGUGGAGGGCCGAACCAGUUCGUGUUGAAAAACGUUUGGAUGAGCUGUGGAUAGGGGUGAAAGGCCAAUCAAACCCAGUGAUAGCUGGUUCUCUCCGAAAUAGCUUUAGGGCUAGCGUCGCGCGAUAGCGCGCGGGGGUAGAGCACCGAUUGUUCGCGGGCCCUCACCGGGGUACCAACAACUGUCGAACUCCGAAUACCGCGCCGCCGUACCGCGGCAGUCAGACUGUGGGGGAUAAGCUUCAUAGUCGAAAGGGAAACAGCCCAGACCGUCGGCUAAGGCCCCCAAUCCGGCCCGAGUGGGUUUAAGGAUGUGGAGCCGCACAGACAGCCAGGAUGUUGGCUUAGAGGCAGCCACCAUUUAAAGAGUGCGUAAUAGCUCACUGGUCGAGUGGUUCCGCGCCGCAAAUGAUCGGGACUAAGGCCGGAGCCGAAGCCGCGGAUGCCCCUCCGGGGGCAUGGUAGGAGAGCGUCGCAUGGGGGGCGAAGCCGUCCCGGAAGGGGCGGUGGACUCCAUGCGAGCGAUCAUGCAGGCAUGAAUAACGAGAAGGCGGGUGAGAAUCCCGCCCACCGAAAGUCCAAGGUUUCCUGGGCCAGGUUCGUCCUCCCAGGGUUAGUCGGAUCCUAAGGCGAGGCCGAAAGGCGUAGUCGAUGGACCACGGGUUAAUAUUCCCGUACUUCUCCGCCGGAGCGACGCGGGGACGCGGGACGCUAGGCCGGCCGCCGACUGGUAGUGGCGGUCCAAGCGGGCAGGGCGGACGGCAGGAAAAUCCGCCGUCCACAAGCCCGAGACGCGACGGGGACGGCGCCCACGGGCGCCGGAAGCGGCCGACGCGACACCGACGAGAAAAGCCGCUAAGCGGCGAUGGCGGAGGAUCCGUACCGCAAACCGACACAGGUGGACAAGGCGAGUAGCCUAAGGUGCGCGAGAGAAACCUCGUUAAGGAACUCGGCAAUCUAACCCCGUAACUUCGGGAGAAGGGGUGCCCCGGGCGGUGGAGGGACUUGCUCCCCGAGCCGCAAGGGGCCGCAGCUAAGAGGCCCAGGCGACUGUUUAGCAAAAACACAGCACUCUGCCAACUCGCAAGAGGAAGUAUAGGGUGUGACACGUGACCAAUGCCGAAAGCUCAAGCGGACGGGUCAGCCGCAAGGCGAAGCUCGGAGGCGAAGGCCCGGUGAAUGUCGGCCGUAACUAUAACGGUCCUAAGGUAGCGAAAUUCCUUGUCGGGUAAGUUCCGACCUGCACGAAUCGUGUAACGAUCUGGGCGCUGUCUCGACGUGGUUCUCGGUGAAAUUGUAAUUCCGGUGAAAAUGCCGGAUACCCGCGGCAGGACGGAAAGACCCCGUGAACCUUUACUGUAGUCUGAUAUUGGCAUCCGGCCGUGCAUGUGUAGCAUAGGCGGGAGGCGUCGAAGCGGCCUCGUCAGGGGCCGCGGAGCCACCGGUGAAAUACCGCCCAGAUCGGAAGAGCACACGUCUGAACUCCAGUCACGGCAAGUUAU
This 2161-nucleotide ribosomal RNA is filed under the name anaerobic digester metagenome. RNAcentral describes it as "bacterial LSU rRNA". It matches the Rfam family "Bacterial large subunit ribosomal RNA", at positions 99 to 2257 of the family's 2925-position model. The record is from RNAcentral.